UACGUAGGGUGCGAGCGUUAAUCGGAUUUACUGGGCGUAAAGCGUGCGCAGGCGGCCCGUUAAGACAGGUGUGAAAUCCCUGGGCUCAACCUAGGAAUUGCGCUUGUGACUGGCGGGCUCGAGUACGGUAGAGGUGGGUGGAAUUCCUUGUGUAGCAGUGAAAUGCGUAGAUAUCAGGAGGAACACCGAUGGCGAAGGCAGCCUCCUGGGCCUGUACUGACGCUCAUGCACGAAAGCGUGGGGAGCAAACAGG
Molecule: ribosomal RNA, 253 nt
Filed under: uncultured microorganism
Description: partial 16S ribosomal RNA
Rfam family: Bacterial small subunit ribosomal RNA
Source: RNAcentral